Molecule: long non-coding RNA, 316 nt
Filed under: Malus domestica (apple)
Lineage: Eukaryota; Viridiplantae; Streptophyta; Magnoliopsida; Rosales; Rosaceae
Description: long non-coding RNA (MDOM_LNC019219)
Source: RNAcentral
AUCUUAUGCUUCUAGAGAAGAUACCACAUCUGCCUGGAGAACAGAAGAGGCGAGUGAAAAUGAUGCAUCGAAGCAUGUGGAGACAAGCUCAACAAAUACAUGUGCUGAUCAUCCGCUACUUCUUCAAAAGCAAAAGUAUCUCAUAUCAUCGGGGUUGAAAGCAAAGGUAUCUCAUAUCAUGCUUUUUCCCUAUCCUUUCCUUUGCCCUUGUUCUUGCCUGCAGAACAAGAAGAAAUGAAGCAAUCAGUCGGAACCUAAAAUUAAACGUCCGAUCAGGAACUGAUUGCCCGGAACCUUUGCCUGGUUGCUUACCUAG